This 363-nucleotide ribosomal RNA is filed under the name uncultured eukaryote. RNAcentral describes it as "SSU rRNA". It matches the Rfam family "Eukaryotic small subunit ribosomal RNA", at positions 567 to 927 of the family's 1831-position model. The record is from RNAcentral.
CCAGCAGCCGCGGUAAUUCCAGCUCCAAUAGCGUAUAUUAAAGUUGUUGCAGUUAAAAAGCUCGUAGUUGGAUUUGUGGUUUGUGGUGGGUUCCGGGCACUUGUUGUCUGAGUAACUCGCCGCUGCCAUCCUUGGGUGGAACCUGUGUGGCAUUAGGUUGUCGUGCAGGGUGCAGGGGAUGCCCAUCGUUUACUGUGAAAAAAUUAGAGUGUUCAAAGCAGGCUUACGCCGUUGAAUAUAUUAGCAUGGAAUAAUAAGAUAGGACUUUGUUGCUAUUUUGUUGGUUUGCGCAACGAGGUAAUGAUUAAUAGGGACAGUUGGGGGUAUUCGUAUUCCAUUGUCAGAGGUGAAAUUCUUGGAUUU